Nicotiana attenuata is the source of this 258-nucleotide long non-coding RNA. RefSeq lists it as uncharacterized. The transcript has 3 exons. NCBI's taxonomy places the organism in Eukaryota, Viridiplantae, Streptophyta, Magnoliopsida, Solanales, Solanaceae. The record is from RefSeq and is a predicted model, not a curated record.
AGCACUGAUUCCUUCCAGACCAGGCGGACUAGGAGUGACGAGCUCUCUAGCUUGUAGAUAAUGUUGCGGAUGCAGCUCGGGCACUUUGGACAUACGAGGCUGCAAAUUGUCUUGCGGAGGCUUUGCGAGUCUCGCUUGUGUUUGUGCUCCAAGAUACGAGUAUACUUUUGAUCAUGUUUCUUUAUCCUCUUCAGCUUUGGAUGGUACUGCCACUAUUCAUGUGACACUCAAGCUACUCAAGAUCUUACUUGAUAAGAG